GAUGAACGCUGGCGGCGUGCCUAAUACAUGCAAGUCGAGCGAACGGACGAGAAGCUUGCUUCUCUGAUGUUAGCGGCGGACGGGUGAGUAACACGUGGAUAACCUACCUAUAAGACUGGGAUAACUUCGGGAAACCGGAGCUAAUACCGGAUAAUAUUUUGAACCGCAUGGUUCAAAAGUGAAAGACGGUCUUGCUGUCACUUAUAGAUGGAUCCGCGCUGCAUUAGCUAGUUGGUAAGGUAACGGCUUACCAAGGCAACGAUGCAUAGCCGACCUGAGAGGGUGAUCGGCCACACGGGAACUGGACCACGGUCCAGACUCCUACGGGAGGCAGCAGUAGGGAAUCUUCCGCAAUGGGCGAAAGCCUGACGGAGCAACGCCGCGUGAGUGAUGAAGGUCUUCGGAUCGUAAAACUCUGUUAUUAGGGAAGAACAUAUGUGUAAGUAACUGUGCACAUCUUGGCGGUACCUAAUCAGAAAGCCACGGCUAACUACGUG
RNAcentral lists this ribosomal RNA (497 nucleotides) under uncultured bacterium. Its description in RNAcentral is "partial 16S ribosomal RNA". It matches the Rfam family "Bacterial small subunit ribosomal RNA", at positions 28 to 507 of the family's 1533-position model. The record is from RNAcentral.